UACGUAGGGGGCGAGCGUUGUUCGGAAUCACUGGGCGUAAAGGGCGUACAGGCGGCCAUAUAAGUCGAGUGUGAAAUUCUUGGGCUUAACCUUAGAUCUGCACUCGAUACUGUUUGGCUUGAGAUCAGGAGAGGAGAGUGGAAUAUGUGGUGUAGCGGUGAAAUGCGUAGAUAUCACAUAGAACACCGGUGGCGAAGGCGGCUCUCUGGCCUGAUUCUGACGCUGACGCGCGAAAGUUAGGGUAGCGAACGGGAUUAGAUACCCCGGUAGUCCUAACUGUAAACGAUGGGUACUAAGUGUAGGAGGUCAUUGACCCCUUCUGUGCUGUAGCCAACGCAUUAAGUACCCCGCCUGGGGACUACGGUCGCAAGACUAAAACUCAAUGUAAUUGACGGGGGCCCGCACAAGCGGUGGAGCAUGUCGCUUAAUUCGAAGCAACGCGAAGAACCUUAUCCAGUGGCUUGACAUCCUCUGACAACUGUGGAAACACAGCUUUCUCUUAUGGGACAGAGUGACAGGUGCUGCAUGGCAGUCGUCAGCUCGUGUCGUGAGAUGUUGGGUUAAGUCCCGCAACGAGCGCAACCCCUGUCUCUAGUUGCCAGCGCGUAAUGGCGGGGACUCUAGAGAUACUGCCGGUGAUAAGCCGGAGGAAGGUGGGGAUGACGUCAUGUCCUCAUGGCCCUUAUGCCCUGGGCUGCACACGUGCUACAAUGGUCGGUACAACGGGUCGUGAAGCCGUGAGGUGGAACCAAUCCCUAAAAACCGAUCCCAGUUGGGAUUGUAGUCUGCAACUCGACUACAUGAACGUGGAAUCGCUAGUAAUCGCGAAUCAGCAGGUCGCGGUGAAUUCGAGGCCGGGCCU
RNAcentral lists this ribosomal RNA (862 nucleotides) under uncultured bacterium. RNAcentral's name for it is "SSU rRNA". It matches the Rfam family "Bacterial small subunit ribosomal RNA", at positions 524 to 1381 of the family's 1533-position model. The record is from RNAcentral.